Molecule: ribosomal RNA, 115 nt
Filed under: Ochotona princeps (American pika)
Lineage: Eukaryota; Metazoa; Chordata; Mammalia; Lagomorpha; Ochotonidae
Source: RNAcentral
AUGGCCAUCCCACCCUGAACGCGCCCGAUCUCGUCUGAUCUCGGAAGCUAAGCAGGGUCGGGCCUGGUUAGUACUUGGAAGGGAGAUUUGCAAUGAAGUCUGAGAGUAUGUUAUU